Molecule: ribosomal RNA, 465 nt
Filed under: uncultured Smithella sp.
Lineage: Bacteria; Pseudomonadati; Thermodesulfobacteriota; Syntrophia; Syntrophales; Smithellaceae
Description: bacterial SSU rRNA
Rfam family: Bacterial small subunit ribosomal RNA
Source: RNAcentral
CCCGCACAAGCGGUGGAGCAUGUUGGUUUAAUUCGAUGCAACGCGAAGAACCUUACUAGGCUUGACAUCCCUGGAAUUUUGUGGAAACACAAAAGUGCCUUUCGGGGAACCAGGAGACAGGUGCUGCAUGGCUGUCGUCAGCUCGUGUCGUGAGAUGUUGGGUUAAGUCCCGCAACGAGCGCAACCCUUAUCUUUAAUUGCCAGCAUUCAGUUGGGCACUUUAAAGAGACUGCCGGUGUUAAACCGGAGGAAAGGUGGGGAUGACGUCAAGUCCUCAUGGCCUUUAUGCUUAGGGCUACACACGUGCUACAAUGGGUGGUACAAAGAGAAGCCAACUCGCGAGAGCGCGCCAAUCUCAAAAAGCCAUCCUCAGUUCAGAUUGUAGGCUGCAACUCGCCUGCAUGAAGAUGGAGUUGCUAGUAACCGCAGGUCAGCAAUACUGCGGUGAAUACGUUCCCGGGUCUU